AGGGGCCCACCCGGAGGGGAGGCCGGGGGUUUAUUUGGCUUAACACCGGAAAACUCCCCCCGGCCGGACACCGGAAGGGUUGACAGAAUGGAAGCUCUUUCUUGAUUCACUGGGGGGGGGGGCAUGGGCGUUCUUAGUUGGGGGGGCGAUUUGUCUGGGUAAUUCCCAUAACAAACGAGACUCUAUCCUACUAAAUAGAUCGUUGGCUUACAAACGCCAAUGAGACUUCUUAGAAGGACAGGCGGCGAUUCAGCCGCACGAAACAGAGCAAUAACAGGUCUGUGUCGCCCUUAGAUGUCCGGGGCCGCACGCGCGCUACACUGAAGUGAUCAGCGUGCAUUCUCAGCCUACUCUGCCAAGAGUGGGAAACCCAUUGAACCUUCUUCGUGAUUGGGAUAGGAGAUUGAGAUUAUUCUCCUUUGAACGAGGAAUUCCCAGUAAGCGCGAGUCAUAAGCUCGCGUUGAUUACGUCCCUGCCCUUUUGUACACACCGCACCGUCGCUACUACCGAUUGAAUGU
This 519-nucleotide ribosomal RNA is filed under the name uncultured eukaryote. Its description in RNAcentral is "partial 18S ribosomal RNA". It matches the Rfam family "Eukaryotic small subunit ribosomal RNA", at positions 1161 to 1696 of the family's 1831-position model. The record is from RNAcentral.